AUGAAUCUGUUAAGCUGGAACUACCGGGGAUUAGGCAACGCCCCGACAGUUCAAGAAUUGCGCGAACUCACGUUAAAGUUUGCCCCUAGAGUACUUUGUAUUUUGGAAACACAAAUUAGCCAAGAGAGAGCUGAAAGUUUAGCAAGUACUCUAGGAUAUGAUUGUUCUUUUGCUGUUGGAUCCACCGGUCGGAGCGGUGGCUUAGUUUUGUACUAG
RNAcentral lists this ribosomal RNA (216 nucleotides) under Triticum aestivum (bread wheat). RNAcentral describes it as "partial small subunit ribosomal RNA". Lineage: Eukaryota; Viridiplantae; Streptophyta; Magnoliopsida; Poales; Poaceae. The record is from RNAcentral.